UACGUAUGGGGCAAGCGUUAUCCGGAAUUAUUGGGCGUAAAGAGUGCGUAGGUGGUUACCUAAGCGCAAGGUUUAAUCUUGAGGCUCAACCUCAUUCUGCCUUGCGAACUGGGCUACUUGAGUGCAGGAGGGGAAAGCGGAAUUCCCAGUGUAGCGGUGAAAUGCGUAGAUAUUGGGAAGAACACCGGUGGCGAAGGCGGCUUUCUGGACUGUAACUGACACUGAGGCACGAAAGCGUGGGGAGCAAACAGGAUUAGAUACCCGGGUAGUCCCUGAG
This 277-nucleotide ribosomal RNA is filed under the name uncultured prokaryote. Its description in RNAcentral is "partial 16S ribosomal RNA". It matches the Rfam family "Bacterial small subunit ribosomal RNA", at positions 524 to 801 of the family's 1533-position model. The record is from RNAcentral.